CUCCCGUUGAUCCUGCCGGACUUGACUGCUAUCGGAUUGGUACUAAGCCAUGCGAGUCAUUGUAGCAAUACAAGGCGGACGGCUCAGUAACACGUAGUCAACCUAACUCGUGGACGUGGAUAACCUCGGGAAACUGAGAAUAAACCACGAUAGAUCAUAGUGCCUGGAAUGGCUUAUGGUCCAAACAGUUUACUGCCAUGGGAUGGGACUGCGGCCUAUCAGCUUGUUGGUGAGGUAAUGGCCCACCAAGGCGAUUACAGGUACGGGCUCUGAGAGGAGAAGCCCGGAGAUGGGUACUGAGACACGGACCCAGGCCCUAUGGGGCGCAGCAGGCGAGAAACCUUAGCAAUGUGCGAAAGCACGACUGGGUCAGUCCGAGUGAUUCCUGAUAAAGGAGUCUUUUGCCUGUCCUAAAAGCACAGGUGAAUAAGGGGUGGGCAAGUCUGGUGUCAGCCGCCGCGGUAAUACCAGCACCUCGAGUGGUCAGGACGUUUAUUGGGCCUAAAGCAUCCGUAGCCGGCUUUGCAAGUCUUCGGUUAAAUCCACCUGCUCAACAGAUGGGCCGCUGGAGAUACUACAGAGCUAGGGAGUGGGAGAGGCAGACGGUAUUCAGUGGGUAGGGGUAAAAUCCUCUGAUCCACUGAAGACCACCAGUGGCGAAGGCGGCUUGCCAGAACGCGCUCGACGGUGAGGGAUGAAAGCUGGGGGAGCAAACCGGAUUAGAUACCCGGGUAGUCCCAGCUGUAAACGAUGCAGACUCGGUGAUGGGUUGGCUUUGAGCCAACCCAGUGCCGCAGGGAAGCCGUUAAGUCUGCCACCUGGGGCGUACGGUCGCAAGACUGAAACUUAAAGGAAUAAGCGGGGGAGCA
RNAcentral lists this ribosomal RNA (869 nucleotides) under uncultured archaeon. RNAcentral describes it as "bacterial SSU rRNA". It matches the Rfam family "Archaeal small subunit ribosomal RNA", at positions 1 to 878 of the family's 1478-position model. The record is from RNAcentral.